UCCCUAGUAGCUCAGCUGGUAAAGAAUGUGCCUGCAACGCAGGAGACCCUGGUUCGAUUCCUGGGUUGGGAA
Molecule: non-coding RNA, 72 nt
Organism: Bos taurus (domestic cattle)
Lineage: Eukaryota; Metazoa; Chordata; Mammalia; Artiodactyla; Bovidae
Source: Rfam